This is a non-coding RNA of Solanum lycopersicum (tomato), 3090 nucleotides long. The record is from RefSeq and is a predicted model, not a curated record. NCBI's taxonomy places the organism in Eukaryota, Viridiplantae, Streptophyta, Magnoliopsida, Solanales, Solanaceae.
UAUCUUUUAGAAAUGAAUUAAUUUUUUCAAAUAAAGUAAUUCUCUUGAAAUUGGUUUGUCAUGUCGUUCAAUAUGACACUUUUUAUUUGUUAUCCAGUUUCAAAUUGCUUUAAAAAAUUCAUAAUGUUAUUAAUUAAGUUCAAAUUGCCCCAUCAGUUAAUUAUCUUGUUCAUAUGAGACCAGGAUUGCAUAUUUUAUAUUGCUUUUAUAUUAUAUUUGCUACUAACAUUGUUAUGCAGAUUUUGUGAUACACCAUUCAUAUUAACUUAAAGAUUGGGUUUUCAUCUCCCUUAAAAUGGCACGUUAAGUUCACGAUUGGAGUAUCAUCUCCCUUCAAAUGACACAUUAAGGUUGAGAUUAGUUUGUCAUCUCCCUUUCAAUGUCACGUUAAGUUCAAGAUUGAGUUGUCAUCUCCCUUCAAAUGACAUGUUAAGUUCAAGAUUGGAUUGUCAUUUCCCUUCAAAUGACACGUUAAGUUCAUGAUUGAGUUGUCAUGUCCCUUCAAAUGACACGUUAAGUUCAAGAUUGGACUGUCAUCUCCAUUUAAAUGACACGUUAAGUUCAAAAUUGGGUUGUCAUCUCCCUUCAAAUGACAUGUUAUGUUCAAAUUGGAUCGCCUGCCUUUCAAAGAGACAUGUUGGGUUGUCACCUCAUUCAAAGUGACAUUUUAUAUUCAAAUUGAAUUGUCCGCCUUUCAAAGGGACGUGUUGGGUUGUAACCUCAUUCAAAGUGAUUUGUUAUAUUCAGGUUGGGUCUUCCACCUUUCAAAGAGACACGAUAGGUUGUCACUUCCAUUCAAGUGACAUGUUAUGUUCAAGUUAGGUUGUCCGCCUUUCAAAGAGACACGUUGGGUUGCCACCUCGUUCAAAGUGGCACGUUAUGUUCAAGUUGGGUUGUGUAUCUUUCAAAGAGACACAUUAGGUUGUCACCUCCAUUCAAGUGAUAUGUUAAGUUCAAGUUGGGUCGUCCGCCUUUCAAAGAAACACAUUGGGUUGUCACCUCGUUCAAAGAGACAUGUUGGGUUGUCACCUCGUUCAAAGUGACAUGUUAUAUUCAAGUUGGGUCGUCCCUCUUUCAAAGAGACAUGUUGGGUUGUCACCUCGUUCAAAGUGACAUGAUAUAUUCAAGUUGGGUCAUCCGCCUUUCAGAAUGACAUGUUGGGUUGUUACCUCGUUCAAAGUGACAUGUUAUAUUCAAGUUGGGUCGUCCGCCUUUCAAAGAGACGUGUUGGGUUGUCACCUCGUUCAAACUGAUAUGUUAUUCACGUCAUCCUACUUUCAAAAGCGCAGUCGGCUGACGUAGAGUCUAGCUCAAAAGUUCUACUAACGUGUUAAUUAUUUUCUUCAAAGUUUAUCAAAUCAAAAUUGGGUUUGUCAACUUUGUUUGACCAGGAUUUCUUUCAUCUAUCCUAAUCAAACAAAUGGGCAAGUUGUUGACAUCAAAUUUUGAUCUAAUAAUUUUAAAAUUAAUAUUUCUUAAAUAUUUUAUUUUAAAUAGUUCAAAAUACAUGUUUUGUCAUUUUAAUGCAAUUUGUAGAUAAUCAUACUUUGUCUCCAAGUAUUGUGAUUUUUAUCGGUAUGUUUAUAUUAUUUUGUCACAGCUAGACGUUCAAAUAUUUGUUCAUUUUUUAUAAAAUUAUUAUUUCUGUUAAAUUGCAUUUUUACAUGUAAUUGAUUACGUUCACUAAAAUUUUCAUAUUCAUUUUACUUGUUACAUUUUUAAUAUUCAUUUUCAUAUUCUACGCAGUUCAAAAAUUUAUUCAAAUUCGAAUACAAUUUGCAUACACAGAUAUUUUAUCAAUCUAACGGUUUUUUGGAGCACGAUCUCAAGCCCAUAACUUAGGCCAAUUUUUAACAACUCUUAUUUAAAGAAAUAUUUACUCAUUAGGUUAAAGGGGUGUAAAAUUAUGUAUUUUCAUAUUUUUAUAUCUAUCAUUGACCAUCACAAAAUUAGCUAGAACAAUCCAUAUUUUUCAGUGAAGCUCCGGCCAUUCACCCGGCAACCAGAACCACUUCAACCUUCAUCCCUCUUCCCCAAUUUUCCGGUGAGACCUCACCAUGUGUUUCUCCAAACACAAUCCAUAUUUUCGGUAAAGCUCCGCCAACCAGAACCACUUCUACCUUCAUCUCUCUUCCCCAAUUUUCCGGUAAAACCUCACGAUGUAUUUCUCCAAACAACAGCUAGUUAUCACUAUCCGUUUCUCCUCCCUUCUUCCGGCCAAAACAACACCCAAAACCAACAAAACUAGAUCGCAACAACAUCUUUUCCAGCCACCUCCAAAACCCCAUUUUUAUUCUCCUCUUUGCUAGCAGCAGCCAGACCCAAUCACCAUCCCAAACCUGCCUGAUAACAGCUUCACUGGCCAGCAGCUAAACGGAGCACCAUCUCCGGUGAAACCCACUAUGUUUUCCAGCCAACACCACCAGAAAACUACCCAUUCCCUCCACUGUUUCGACCCCCAAAUACAUCAUGAAACAACCACCAAAACCCCACGCCAGCCAGCCAAACAACACAAAACCCCUUUUCCUUUUUUUUUUUAAUUGUUUCCGACAGACCAGUUUCAAGCCACUAAAAAAAAUAUUUUUACUCUUUUUUCCAGCAACUCUAUGGCCACCGGCGAGGAGCGAGGAGCUCCAAUGAACCGGAGCACUCAGACCAGUUUCCUUUCCCCUUUCCCUCUUCAGAUUUUUGCUUGUUUUGUAGGUAUCCCUCCGAACUCCGGCGGCAUAACAACCCGAACUCUACUCUUAGCCGUGGUGAAACUUUUAGAUUUGGUCAGAAAAUACUAACCACUUGUUACCCUUUUUCUUUUCAUUUUUUAUGUAUUAUUAUUGGUGAAUACUUUUAGAUAUCUAAUUUUAUUGUUGACACCUCUUUGGCAAUGAUUUAUUUUGUCAUUAUACUAAGUUUCUAUUAUGUUAUUUGUUAAGUAGAUUUGAUAGUUCUCAUUUGUUCAUUAAUGGUUGUGUUUUUUUAUUUAUUUAUUUUAUUUUAUAUCAUCAAAGUUGUGAAGUAUUUGAUUAAUGUUGGAAUUCAUUGAUUAAUUUAAUUGAUCAUCUCUAUUAUCAAUAAUAUUUAUUUAACCAAGAA